UGUUAGAAAUUUUAUCCAUUUCUACUGUUAAAAAUUGGCAUGGUUGACAAAAUAACCAAACAAUGACUCAUGACGUGCCAUGUGUACCUCAUGUUGACAUACAUGAACUCAUUUUUAGCAGUAGAAAUAAAUGAAAUUUUUAAUG
Non-coding RNA from Gossypium raimondii (Peruvian cotton), 145 nucleotides. The record is from Rfam. Lineage: Eukaryota; Viridiplantae; Streptophyta; Magnoliopsida; Malvales; Malvaceae.